UACGUAGGGGGCAAGCGUUGUCCGGAUUUAUUGGGCGUAAAGAGCGUGUAGGCGGCUUUACAGGUCCGUUGUGAAAACUCGAGGCUCAACCUCGAGACGCCGGUGGAAACCGUAAAGCUAGAGUCCGGAAGAGGAGAGUGGAAUUCCUGGUGUAGCGGUGAAAUGCGCAGAUAUCAGGAAGGACACCCGUGGCGAAGGCGGCUCUCUGGGACGGUACUGACGCUGAGACGCGAAAGCGUGGGGAGCGAACAGG
This 253-nucleotide ribosomal RNA is filed under the name uncultured bacterium. RNAcentral describes it as "partial 16S ribosomal RNA". It matches the Rfam family "Bacterial small subunit ribosomal RNA", at positions 524 to 776 of the family's 1533-position model. The record is from RNAcentral.